This 245-nucleotide ribosomal RNA is filed under the name uncultured bacterium. RNAcentral describes it as "partial 16S ribosomal RNA". It matches the Rfam family "Bacterial small subunit ribosomal RNA", at positions 15 to 244 of the family's 1533-position model. The record is from RNAcentral.
GAUAUGGCUCAGGACGAACGCUGGCGGCGUGCCUAACACAUGCAAGUCGAACGGAGAAUUUUAUUUCGGUAGAAUUCUUAGUGGCGAACGGGUGAGUAACGCGUAGGCAACCUACCCUUUAGACGGGGACAACAUUCCGAAAGGAGUGCUAAUACCGGAUGUGAUCAUCGUGCCGCAUGGCAGGAUGAAGAAAGAUGGCCUCUACAAGUAAGCUAUCGCUAAAGGAUGGGCCUGCGUCUGAUUAG